Molecule: long non-coding RNA, 329 nt
Organism: Grus americana (Whooping crane)
Lineage: Eukaryota; Metazoa; Chordata; Aves; Gruiformes; Gruidae
Exons: 3
Source: RefSeq, a predicted model, not a curated record
CUUUCCACCAGCUGCCUAAGAACUUCACCUCAGCGGAGGGGAGUUGUACCUUUUCUGCCGGAACCUGAAGUUCUCAACUUUCCAGCGUACACAGUUGGGUGACCUCUUCUUCAUGAUCUCCGUUUUGCAAGCUCAGCAACCUCGUUAUCUGUCCUGCCCGGAUGGUCCCAGGCUUGUUGGCAUAUUGGGCCCCCUUUAUCAGAGUCCAUUUAGUGGAAGACUGUUCUCUAAGUACUGGAGACCUUGAGCGUGAACGGUAUCUUCUGGAUGGGGCUGCCCUUGCCCUUGAACGGUGAUAACCAUCUGACCUUGACCUGCAACGAUUGUUA